AGUGUCUGGGAAACCAGCGUCCGACUGUCAGCAGCGUCUGCAUUCUCAGUGCUAACCAGGAGAGACACAUUUGGGCAGUGGCACAGUGAUGUGUUGGAACAUGCCUACUACUUGAUAAAAAGAGGGAGGCUGCCUGGAAAACAGCGUGGAGACACUCAUGGUGGACCAGGGAGGCGUCAGGAAGUGAAAGUGGGAAGAGAGGAGGUGAUGGAAGUUCUCUUGGGAUGCUGGAGAUGAGGCCAAGACUUUGCACAAGCACUGCGAGCACUCUACCACAGACCCAUAGCCCCACCUUUUGGCAUUUCUGAAGAGACUCUUGUGGGACCAAGUCAGACA
RNAcentral lists this long non-coding RNA (336 nucleotides) under Mus caroli (Ryukyu mouse). RNAcentral's name for it is "lncRNA (MGP_CAROLIEiJ_G0005942.1)". The record is from RNAcentral. Lineage: Eukaryota; Metazoa; Chordata; Mammalia; Rodentia; Muridae.